Molecule: ribosomal RNA, 465 nt
Filed under: uncultured bacterium
Lineage: Bacteria
Description: partial 16S ribosomal RNA
Rfam family: Bacterial small subunit ribosomal RNA
Source: RNAcentral
CCUACGGGUGGCAGCAGUAGGGAAUCUUCCACAAUGGACGAAAGUCUGAUGGAGCAACGCCGCGUGAGUGAAGAAGGGUUUCGGCUCGUAAAGCUCUUUUGGUAGUGAAGAAAGAUAGAGGUAGUAACUGGCCUUUAUUUGACGGUAAUUACUUAGAAAGUCACGGCUAACUACGUGCCAGCAGCCGCGGUAAUACGUGGGUGGCAAGCGUUGUCCGGAUUUAUUGGGCGUAAAGCGAGUGCAGGCGGUUCAAUAAGUCUGAUGUGAAAGCGUUCGGCUCAACCGGAGAAUUGCAUCAGAAACUGUUGAACGUGAGUGCAGAAGAGGAGAGUGGAACUCCAUGUGUAGCGGUGGAAUGCGUAGAUAUAUGGAAGAACACCAGUGGCGAAGGCGGCUCUCUGGACUGCAACUGACGCUGAGGCUCGAAAGCAUGGGUAGCGAACAGGAUUAGAUACCCCUGUAGUC